AAAUUGAAGAGUUUGAUCAUGGCUCAGAUUGAACGCUGGCGGCAGGCCUAACACAUGCAAGUCGAACGGUAACAGGAAGCAGCUUGCUGCUUCGCUGACGAGUGGCGGACGGGUGAGUAAUGUCUGGGAAACUGCCUGAUGGAGGGGGGUAACUACUGGAAA
RNAcentral lists this ribosomal RNA (162 nucleotides) under Salmonella enterica. Its description in RNAcentral is "partial 16S ribosomal RNA". It matches the Rfam family "Bacterial small subunit ribosomal RNA", at positions 1 to 156 of the family's 1533-position model. The record is from RNAcentral. Lineage: Bacteria; Pseudomonadati; Pseudomonadota; Gammaproteobacteria; Enterobacterales; Enterobacteriaceae.